UAUCAAUUAAGCGGAGGAAAAGAAACCAACAGGGAUUGCCCUAGUAACGGCGAGUGAAGCGGCAACAGCUCAAAUUUGAAAUCUGGCUCUUUCAGAGUCCGAGUUGUAAUUUGCAGAGGGCGCUUUGGCUUUGGCAGCGGUCCAAGUUCCUUGGAACAGGACGUCACAGAGGGUGAGAAUCCCGUACGUGGUCGCUAGCUAUUGCCGUGUAAAGCCCCUUCGACGAGUCGAGUUGUUUGGGAAUGCAGCUCUAAAUGGGAGGUAAAUUUCUUCUAAAGCUAAAUAUUGGCCAGAGACCGAUAGCGCACAAGUAGAGUGAUCGAAAGAUGAAAAGCACUUUGGAAAGGAGUCAAACAGCACGUGAAAUUGUUGAAAGGGAAGCGCUUGCAGCCAGACUUGCUUGCAGUUGCUCAUCCGGGCUUUUGCCCGGUGCACUCUUCUGCAGGCAGGCCAGCAUCAGUUUGGGCGGUGGGAUAAAGGUCUCUGACACGUUCCUUCCUUCGGGUUGGCCAUAUAGGGGAGACGUCAUACCACCAGCCUGGACUGAGGUCCGCGCAUCUGCUAGGAUGCUGGCGUAAUGGCUGUAAGCGGCCCGUCUUGA
This 601-nucleotide ribosomal RNA is filed under the name Curvularia lunata. RNAcentral describes it as "partial 26S ribosomal RNA". It matches the Rfam family "Eukaryotic large subunit ribosomal RNA", at positions 41 to 657 of the family's 3401-position model. The record is from RNAcentral. Lineage: Eukaryota; Fungi; Ascomycota; Dothideomycetes; Pleosporales; Pleosporaceae.